GACGAACGCUGGCGGCGUGCUUAACACAUGCAAGUCGAACGGAAAGGCCCUGCUUGCAGGGUGCUCGAGUGGCGAACGGGUGAGUAACACGUGGGUGAUCUGCCCCUUACUUUGGGAUAAGCCUGGGAAACUGGGUCUAAUACUGGAUAGGACCAUGCUGUAGGUGGUGUGGUGGAAAGAUUAGUUUCGGUAAGGGAUGAGCUCGCGGCCUAUCAGCUUGUUGGUGGGGUAAUGGCCUACCAAGGCGUCGACGGGUAGCCGGCCUGAGAGGGUGGACGGCCACAUUGGGACUGAGAUACGGCCCAGACUCCUACGGGAGGCAGCAGUGGGGAAUAUUGCACAAUGGGCGCAAGCCUGAUGCGGCGACGCCGCGGGGGGGAUGACGGCCUUCGGGUUGUAAACUCCUUUCAGCCAUGACGAAGCCCUUGUGGUGACGGUAGUGGUAGAAGAAGCACCGGCUAACUACGUG
This 469-nucleotide ribosomal RNA is filed under the name uncultured bacterium. RNAcentral describes it as "partial 16S ribosomal RNA". It matches the Rfam family "Bacterial small subunit ribosomal RNA", at positions 28 to 507 of the family's 1533-position model. The record is from RNAcentral.